This 497-nucleotide long non-coding RNA is filed under the name Rattus norvegicus (Norway rat). RNAcentral's name for it is "long non-coding RNA NONRATT026985". The record is from RNAcentral. Lineage: Eukaryota; Metazoa; Chordata; Mammalia; Rodentia; Muridae.
CCCAAAUGUCCAAGUGUCUGCUAGGCCCCAGGAAAGCAGUCUGUCUGAUGUGAAACGGAAGAGGGCUGGAAAGCUGAAGCAGCGGGGACCGAAGCAGAGUGCCCCUCCCCCCAAGAUCGGGGACCUGGGGACACCUGCUAUGCAGACUCCCUCUGAAAUCAGUGCCACCCCAAGGCCUAAGUCCCCUGGGAAAGCCAAAAAGAGAGAGGAAGUAAAGCAGGAGUUACCAGAGCAGCCUGCCAAGGGAACUGCUUCCCUGAAAGAAGACGCUGCCCCCAAGAGACCCUCUGCCCCCACCACGGCUCACCACAGUUCCACCAGGCCCCCACCGGCAAAGAGGAGGAAAUCUAUGACCAAGGGCAGCAGCCAGCCACUGUUGUCUUAAAUGGACUUGGAAACUCACUGACACCGUCUCUGGAUUGAACUGUUAGAUCCUGUUGCAAGAAUGGCCUCCCCUGUGCAUACAUAUGAAACUUAAUAUACAUAUUACCACCCCU